UUGGGGAAUUUGACAAUGGGCGAAAGCCUGAUCCAGCAAUGCCGCGUGUGUGAAGAAGGCCUUCGGGUUGUAAAGCACUUUUGUCCGGAAAGAAAUCCUUGGCUCUAAUACAGUCGGGGGAUGACGGUACCGGAAGAAUAAGCACCGGCUAACUACGUGCCAGCAGCCGCGGUAAUACGUAGGGUGCAAGCGUUAAUCGGAAUUACUGGGCGUAAAGCGUGCGCAGGCGGUUUGCUAAGACCGAUGUGAAAUCCCCGGGCUCAACCUGGGAACUGCAUUGGUGACUGGCAGGCUAGAGUAUGGCAGAGGGGGGUAAAUUCCACGUGUAGCAGUGAAAUGCGUAGAGAUGUGGAGGAAUA
RNAcentral lists this ribosomal RNA (359 nucleotides) under uncultured bacterium. Its description in RNAcentral is "partial 16S ribosomal RNA". It matches the Rfam family "Bacterial small subunit ribosomal RNA", at positions 354 to 708 of the family's 1533-position model. The record is from RNAcentral.